AUUGAACGCUGGCGGCAUGCCUUACACAUGCAAGUCGAACGGUAACGCGGGGCAACCUGGCGACGAGUGGCGAACGGGUGAGUAAUGCAUCGGAACGUGCCCAGAAGUGGGGGAUAGCCCGGCGAAAGCCGGAUUAAUACCGCAUGAGACCUGAUGGUGAAAGCGGGGGAUCGCAAGACCUCUCGCUUUUUUAGCGGCCGAUGUCAGAUUAGCUAGUUGGUGGGGUAAAGGCCUACCAAGGCGACGAUCUGUAGCUGGUCUGAGAGGACGACCAGCCACACUGGGACUGAGACACGGCCCAGACUCCUACGGGAGGCAGCAGUGGGGAAUUUUGGACAAUGGGCGCAAGCCUGAUCCAGCCAUGCCGCGUGCGGGAAGAAGGACUUCGGGUUGUAAACCGCUUUUGUCAGGGAAGAAACGAUCUGGGCUAAUACCCUGGGGUAAUGACGGUACCUGAAGAAUAAGCACCGGCUAACUACGUG
This 482-nucleotide ribosomal RNA is filed under the name uncultured bacterium. RNAcentral describes it as "partial 16S ribosomal RNA". It matches the Rfam family "Bacterial small subunit ribosomal RNA", at positions 30 to 507 of the family's 1533-position model. The record is from RNAcentral.